Molecule: ribosomal RNA, 450 nt
Filed under: uncultured bacterium
Lineage: Bacteria
Description: bacterial SSU rRNA
Rfam family: Bacterial small subunit ribosomal RNA
Source: RNAcentral
GUGAGGAAUUUUGCGCAAUGGGGGAAACCCUGACGCAGCAACGCCGCGUGAGUGAUGAAGACCCUCGGGUCGUAAAGCUCUGUCAAGUGGGAAAAAAUACCUUCGGUUAAUAGCCGAAGGGGUUGAUGGUACCACUGGAGGAAGCACCGGCUAACUCCGUGCCAGCAGCCGCGGUAAUACGGAGGGUGCAAGCGUUGUUCGGAAUUACUGGGCGUAAAGGGCGUGUAGGCGGUUUGGCAAGUCAGAUGUGAAAGCCCUGGGCUCAACCCAGGAAGUGCAUUUGAAACUACCAUCCUAGAGUAUGGGAGAGGAGAGUGGAAUUCCCAGUGUAGAGGUGAAAUUCGUAGAUAUUGGGAGGAACACCGGUGGCGAAGGCGACUCUCUGGACCAAUACUGACGCUGAGACGCGAAAGCGUGGGGAGCAAACAGGAUUAGAAACCCGAGUAGUCC